This 468-nucleotide ribosomal RNA is filed under the name uncultured bacterium. RNAcentral's name for it is "partial 16S ribosomal RNA". It matches the Rfam family "Bacterial small subunit ribosomal RNA", at positions 28 to 507 of the family's 1533-position model. The record is from RNAcentral.
GACGAACGCUGGCGGCGUGCUUAACACAUGCAAGUCGAACGGAAAGGCCCUGCUUUUGUGGGGUUCUCGAGUGGCGAACGUGUGAGUAACACGUGAGUAACCUUCCCUUGACUUUGGGAUAACUUCAGGAAACUGGUGCUAAUACCUGAUAGGAGCUCCUGCUGUAUGGUGGGGGUUGGAAAGUUUCGGCGGUUGUGGAUGGACUCGCGGCUUAUCAGCUUGUUGGUGGGGUAGUGGCUUACCAAGGCUUUGACGGGUAGCCGGCCUGAGAGGGUGACCGGCCACAUUGGGACUGAGAUACGGACCAGACUCCUACGGGAGGCAGCAGUGGGGAAUAUUGCACAAUGGGCGGAAGCCUGAGGCAGCAACGCCGCGUGCGGGAUGACGGCCUUCGGGUUGUAAACCGCUUUCGCCUGUGACGAAGCGUGAGUGACGGUAAUGGGUAAAGAAGCACCGGCUAACUACGUG